GCAGACACAUUCCAGCCAAUCAGCAGCAGACCCUCCCUCCCAGACCCUCUCACCUCCUGGACAGCAUCCAUUUUACAUUCUUAGCGAGCUGUCCAGGAGGUGGGAGGGUCUGGGAGAGAGGGUCUGCUGCUGAUUGGCUGGAAUGUGUCUG
Pelobates cultripes (western spadefoot toad) is the source of this 151-nucleotide non-coding RNA. Lineage: Eukaryota; Metazoa; Chordata; Amphibia; Anura; Pelobatidae. The record is from the annotation of a GenBank genome assembly.